CCUACGGGAGGCUGCAGUGGGGAAUAUUGGACAAUGGGGGGAACCCUGAUCCAGCCAUGCCGCGUGUGUGAAGAAGGCCCUCGGGUUGUAAAGCACUUUCAGUGAGGAAGAACGCCUGGUGGUUAAUACCCAUCAGGAAAGACAUCACUCACAGAAGAAGCACCGGCUAACUCCGUGCCAGCAGCCGCGGUAAUACGGAGGGUGCGAGCGUUAAUCGGAAUUACUGGGCGUAAAGCGCGCGUAGGUGGCGUGAUAAGCCGGUUGUGAAAGCCCCGGGCUCAACCUGGGAACGGCAUCCGGAACUGUCAAGCUAGAGUGCAGGAGAGGAAGGUAGAAUUCCCGGUGGAGCGGUGAAAUGCGUAGAGAUCGGGAGGAAUACCAGUGGCGAAGGCGGCCUUCUGGACUGACACUGACACUGAGGUGCGAAAGCGUGGGUAGCACACAGGAUUAGAUACCCUAGUAGUC
RNAcentral lists this ribosomal RNA (465 nucleotides) under Vreelandella stevensii. Its description in RNAcentral is "partial 16S ribosomal RNA". It matches the Rfam family "Bacterial small subunit ribosomal RNA", at positions 338 to 795 of the family's 1533-position model. The record is from RNAcentral. Lineage: Bacteria; Pseudomonadati; Pseudomonadota; Gammaproteobacteria; Oceanospirillales; Halomonadaceae.